This 253-nucleotide ribosomal RNA is filed under the name uncultured bacterium. RNAcentral describes it as "partial 16S ribosomal RNA". It matches the Rfam family "Bacterial small subunit ribosomal RNA", at positions 524 to 776 of the family's 1533-position model. The record is from RNAcentral.
UACGUAGGGGGCUAGCGUUGUCCGGAAUCAUUGGGCGUAAAGCGCGUGUAGGCGGCCCGGUAAGUCCGCUGUGAAAGUCGGGGGCACAACCCUCGGAUGCCGGUGGAUACUGUCGGGCUCGAGUACGGAAGAGGCGAGUGGAAUUCCUGGUGUAGCGGUGAAAUGCGCAGAUAUCAGGAGGAACACCAAUUGCGAAGGCAGCUCGCUGGGACGUUAAUGACGCUGAGGAGCGAAAGCGUGGGGAGCGAACAGG